Molecule: long non-coding RNA, 1158 nt
Organism: Bombus terrestris (buff-tailed bumblebee)
Lineage: Eukaryota; Metazoa; Arthropoda; Insecta; Hymenoptera; Apidae
Exons: 3
Source: RefSeq, a predicted model, not a curated record
CGAACAAAGACGAAUUUGAAUUUUCCGACUCUCCACCGACCAGUAUAAAUAAGUGGACGCGAUCGCAAGGAAAUGAGUUACAGUCAAUUGUCGAUCAGUUAUCAACCAAUUAUCAACGAAUUAUCAGCGAUUUAAUUAACGAAUCAUUAGCGAUCCUACUUUACGACUGUCUUAACGAAUCGAAAUCCUCGAACCUGUCUCGGAUAUCCACUGUGCACCAUCAAGGUUCAGGGUUAAUAACCAGAAUAACGGAACGAAAAGAAAGAAGGGAAGAAAAUCGGAGAAAAGGGGGAGAAGGCUAAUAUGAAUAACCCAAGGACAAUUGGCCGGCAUUGCAAGAUGCGCCUUAUUCCGCGAAACUUGGCGCCCCGCUACUACAAGAUGUUACCUCCUCCUACGUGGAAAUGUAAUAUGCUUCCGUGGACCAGCAGUCAGCCAACCAAACCAGCCUGUGACGCCACCGUAGUUUCUUAAUUUCAUUUUCGCCCGGUUGCCAGAAAGCGUAGACCUCAACGAGUCCGUCUGUCCCUUGCAUUUUGGAUUUUUCGUUGAUUUUUUGCGGGAAUCGCUCGGAGAAUUCAACACGAAUUCCGCGUGGAUUUCGAGCAAGCACGAAAGAGACCACCCGCUCCGGCCUUUUAGCGCUAACAAUUUUUCAAGCCACUCAAAGUACCCUGGAAAGAAGAAGAGUAUACCACCCGGCACAGAGUACGUGGAACCUGGAGGCGUUUCACGGGUCGGCUAUCUUUUAAAUUGUGAUACGAUAGUUUCGAGCUGAGGAACACUUCUACACCCUUUAAAACGAAGCAAAGCGAGAGAUCGUUAAGUAGGACUCCAGUUAAUUUCCGUCGACGUUAUACCAGCCAGAAAUAAAAUUUUCUUUAUAGUACGACCACGCGGACGAUACCUCUUUUCCUUUAUGUCACUGUGUAAAUGGUUUUUGGACUUUCGACGGGCUACCUGAACCUAAACGUAGAACCACGGCGAAUUACGGUGUCGUCUGUGUGGUGGGCGGUAUUCACGGACAAUAAAAUUAGUCCUUCGAGUAUUGUCCAGAGGGAUACAUACAGACCGUAAAGAGAAAUUCUCGUGACUGAUGCACGUGUUUCCAACACGACGAAGCGACACAUAUGGAAACGUUUUGCCGAGACAGCGGAA